Long non-coding RNA from Mastomys coucha (southern multimammate mouse), 409 nucleotides. RefSeq lists it as uncharacterized. The transcript is spliced from 2 exons. Lineage: Eukaryota; Metazoa; Chordata; Mammalia; Rodentia; Muridae. The record is from RefSeq and is a predicted model, not a curated record.
UCCUGCCCUAGCGACAUGUGAUCUCUAAAGGUCCUAGUGUGGAGAGUGAAAGACUAACUGAGGGGAUGGAUAUUCUACCUACACAGCCAUGGAGGAGUCUUCAUCCAUGCUGAGACCUCGCCUCACUAUGUGGAGCAAGAAUACAUGUCUUAUCCUCAAAGGACUGUCGGCUUAAGAGAGAAUGCAUGAUAACUACCAUGUAAAAAAAGGACAAGCAAGAAGAAACAGACUUGAGCUAAAGAAAAAUAUCAGAGCACCAAACCAGACACAGUAAGACAGCAUUUAUUCCAGGAUGAGGACUCUGAUGGGCAGAUAUGAACCUGUGGUCAUGCAGCGAUCCUGGUGAAAAUCAGUGGGUCUCAAGGAAAACACAAAAUAAAACAAACAAUGAAACAGAUCAACAACAGUA